UCUGCUCUGUUCUGGAAUGGGUACCCAUCACUUCUGGCUCGGUUCAUCGCGCACAACCAGUCAUAUGGCUGUGCUCAACAGCAACGGAGUGGGGGAAAUACUGGCCCUGUGAAGCAGUGAGCACUUAUUAUGGUACCUUCAUUUUCCAGAUGAAGAAACACGGCACCAAAAGGGUCCAUUUUGAGUAGCACUGUGCAGGAUAUGGCUACAGUGAUUGGACCCGUGUAGACUUCAGGUAGCUCUUUGAUUGUGAUUUCGGGCUCUCAAACUAGAAAUGCU
Suricata suricatta (meerkat) is the source of this 279-nucleotide long non-coding RNA. RefSeq lists it as uncharacterized. The transcript is spliced from 3 exons. The record is from RefSeq and is a predicted model, not a curated record. Lineage: Eukaryota; Metazoa; Chordata; Mammalia; Carnivora; Herpestidae.